UGAAAAUCUGGGAAAAUUACACAUAAAACUACACUGCAAUUACAAUAAAAAAUCACCCUAGAAAUUCAGGGUUAAUUACACUAUACAAACUGGGAGAAAUUACCCCUGUAAGACUACAAAACUGAUAUUACACUGGAAGUCUGUGACGACACUGAAAAAGUCUGAUCAAACAAUUGACAACACUGAAAAGGGCCGAGCCAAAAGUACACAGAAAUUAAACUUAAAAUUCAUUCCUGCUAGAAGAAAAACAAACACGGUACAAAGGAGAACUACACCUCCAACAACAAAUCAGGAGCCUAAUUCAUUUGAAUACAAAAAAAGAGCUUGACACAAGCACCUAGCAUCUACCAGUACAUGAGCAAGGGCAAGAGCAGGAAAACACGCAGAAGCAUCAGGGAGCAUCCCGACACGAGCAGGAACGAGCUAGACAUCUACCAGUACAUCUACAACAUCCCGCAUGCUACAACUACAGACAUCCGCCAAGCUACAUCUACAGAAUCCCCAUCAGCUACAGGAACAUGAGCAGCUACAAGUACAUGAGCACCUACAGAUCGCCCUCUCACCUACAGGAACAUGAGCACCUACAGGAACAUCUACAGAAACAUCUACAGAAUCCCUCGCGCCUACAGGAACACGAGUACCUACAGGAACAUCUACAGAUCGCCCUCUCAUCUACAUGAACAGCUACAUCUCCACAGACAAAAGGGGGACAAAGCCGCUGCAUCUACAAACUACAACAGUACAAACAGCAGCGCGCGCGGGACGACCACAACAACCAGAAGCCUAGCAAUCUAGCGGCUGCACCACAUGCGCGAGAGGGCGACAUGAACUGACCUAGAUCUGGGACGAACAAGAGCAGAACAACACAAGCGCGCGACGGGGAGAGAGAGAGAGAGGAACAACCAACCGCGACACCGGGGAGCGAAGGGGAAGGGGAGAGAAAUCAAGCUCGAGUGGGGGAAGGUCUCGAAAUCGCCAUGGACGGGGAGAAUCGCCUCCUGCUCCGCCGCUCGAGCUCCCCCUCAGCCUUAUCCAAACAGAGAGGACGAAAUGAAAAGGGAGGAAAGGCACGCUACCCCAAAUUCAAACGAGACAAAAAUCAGAGCCGGCCGGGCGCGGCGAUAACGGGCACAGAGAAAACCGCACAACACAAAAAAACCGGACCCGGCAACAAGACCAGCACGAAUCUCCGCGCAAGAACGGACGGACAACGACUUGAAUGUUGGCGAAUUGCAAAACAGUCAGCUGUAAAAUAGCAAAACCGUAAAACAAAGAUAUCAAUCUAAUUUAGAAAGGAAGGAAUACACUUGAUACUGAAUAGAAAUCUAACUCACAAUAGAAAUCUAUUUAAAAUCAGAGUAGUUAUCAGGUAAGCAAUACAUAAGGUGGAGCUGUGGGCUGAUAUAGGAAGGAAUAUACUUGAGACCGAAUAAUUUAGAAACAGAGUAGUUAUUGGGUAAGCAGUACAGAAGUGAGCUGUGGGCUAAUUUGGUACGAGGCGAAUACAGGAGGGGUAGUGAAUUAGGAAAGUUCAUAGGUAGUAGACAGCAGCAUGGUUUCAUUUGCUGGUGAACACAAAAAAUACAAGGUCUG
RNAcentral lists this long non-coding RNA (1593 nucleotides) under Triticum aestivum (bread wheat). RNAcentral's name for it is "long non-coding RNA (TAES_LNC003287)". The record is from RNAcentral. Lineage: Eukaryota; Viridiplantae; Streptophyta; Magnoliopsida; Poales; Poaceae.